Rhagoletis zephyria (snowberry fruit fly) is the source of this 73-nucleotide non-coding RNA. The record is from the annotation of a RefSeq genome assembly. NCBI's taxonomy places the organism in Eukaryota, Metazoa, Arthropoda, Insecta, Diptera, Tephritidae.
GGUUCCAUAGUGUAGCGGUUAUCACGUCUGCUUUACACGCAGAAGGUCUCCAGUUCGACCCUGGAUGGAACCA